RNAcentral lists this ribosomal RNA (465 nucleotides) under Vreelandella stevensii. RNAcentral's name for it is "partial 16S ribosomal RNA". It matches the Rfam family "Bacterial small subunit ribosomal RNA", at positions 338 to 795 of the family's 1533-position model. The record is from RNAcentral. Lineage: Bacteria; Pseudomonadati; Pseudomonadota; Gammaproteobacteria; Oceanospirillales; Halomonadaceae.
CCUACGGGGGGCUGCAGUGGGGAAUAUUGGACAAUGGGCGAAAGCCUGAUCCAGCCAUGCCGCGUGUGUGAAGAAGGCCUUCGGGUUGUAAAGCACUUUCAGUGGGGAAGAAAGCCUUGGGGCUAAUACCCUCGAGGAAGGACAUCACCCACAGAAGAAGCACCGGCUAACUCCGUGCCAGCAGCCGCGGUAAUACGGAGGGUGCGAGCGUUAAUCGGAAUUACUGGGCGUAAAGCGCGCGUAGGCGGUCUGAUAAGCCGGUUGUGAAAGCCCCGGGCUCAACCUGGGAACGGCAUCCGGAACUGUCAGGAUAGAGUGCAGGAGAGGAAGGUAGAAUUCCCGGUGUAGCGGUGAAAUGCGUAGAGAUCGGGAGGAAUACCAGUGGCGAAGGCGGCCUUCUGGACUGACACUGACGCUGAGGUGCGAAAGCGUGGGUAGCAAACAGGAUUAGAUACUCUAGUAGUC